Molecule: RNA transcript, 4061 nt
Organism: Aegilops tauschii subsp. strangulata
Lineage: Eukaryota; Viridiplantae; Streptophyta; Magnoliopsida; Poales; Poaceae
Source: RefSeq, a predicted model, not a curated record
UAAAAAAAAAAUUUAAGCACUGCCCCAGAAAGAAAAGCCCUGAUCCCAGAAAAAAAAAGAGAAGGAACUGUCACCUUGCGCUCUCACCGCCUCGCCCAGCGCCGCCGCCCGCCCGCCGCCUCUUUCGCCGGCCACCGCGUCGAGCCCGCCCUCCGCCGCCCGUGCCUGCCUCCACCGCGCCCUUUCCCGAACCUUCACCGGCGUUGCCCAACCUCCGCCGAGCCCCUUCGCCCUGCCCUAGCCCUUCCCGAAUCCGGACGACUGACGGCGGCGCUCCGGCUCGCCGCUGGGAGAUAUGGGUUUACGUACCAGACGGCCGACUGUUGCAGUGCGUAGUGGUGACGAAGAAGACUUUGACAAUGAUGGUGAUGAUGAUUACAGUGACCAAAACGAUUAUGAUUAUAUCUGCAAAUAUGACGCCAGCCACAAUCAUGGUAGUGGUGAUGACAAGAGCAGUGAUGAUUACAGCUGCACCGAUGAUGAUAGCAACGAUGAUGGUGAUGAUAUUGACAACGAUGGUGGUGGUGGUGGGGAUGCUACUGAUAAUUUAUGUGCAAUAUGUGACAAUGGAGGGAAAUUGCUAUGCUGUGAAGGACAAUGUAAAAGGUCCUUCCAUCCCAGAGAAAAAGAUGGAAGGGAAUCUACUUGUGAAACUCUUGGUUUAACUUCUGCACAACUACAGGAAAUUGAUCAUUAUCUAUGCAAGAACUGUGAAUAUAAGCAACACCAAUGUUUCAGUUGUGGAGAUCUUGAGCCAUCUGAUGGGCCAAAUGCUAAGGUGUUCCAAUGCUACAAAGCAUCUUGUGGGCACUUCUACCACCCCAGUUGUAUUGCCAAAUUACUUGAGCCUGAUGAUACUGAUGGAGCUUGCGAAUUGGAGCGGAGGAUUGCUGCUGGGAUGUCAUUUACAUGUCCUGCACAUUGGUGCUCAGAAUGUAGAACGAUGGAAGACAGUACUCAACCAGAACUUUGGCUUGCGGCUUGCAGACGCUGUCCAGUGUCAUAUCACAAAAUAUGUUUCCCAAGAAGCAUUUCCUUUGAGAGAAAGCGUGGCACAAGUGUACGCGCUUGGCACCUGGGUGAUAGAAUUAUCAUUUACUGUGGAAGCCAUAAACUAGAAGCUGAGCUUGGAGCACCUAGCAGAGACCAUAUAAAGUUACCAUCUAGUACAGAAAUGGAUACUGUUGGAACACAUUGCAUUGACCAAAUAAAGUCAACUCCCGUUCAAAAAAUUUAUAGAACAAGAAAUCUUGCUAAGAAGAAAACAGAAGUGACUGGUAAAAGGAAAAUGAACACUGAUCAAGGUUCAACAGGAACUGCGGAGCUGUCAAAAAAGGUAUGUCGAGAAGAAGCCGACCAGAUAAAGUUAAUUCCCGUUCCAAAAAUUUAUAGGACAAGAAAUCUUGCUAAGAAAACAAAAGUGACUGGUAAAAGGAAUAUGAACACCAAUCAAGGUUCAACAGGAACUGCGGAGCUGUCAAACAAGGUAUGUCGAGAAGAAGCCGACCAGAUCCAAACAGUAGAUAUGAAUAACUUAAGGGAAGAUAAGAUUCCAAAAGGGAGAGGUGUCCUCGAGAAAGAGACCAUCCGUUUAAAUCAAGCACACAAUGACGAGCUAGAAAAGCUUAUUGUGGAGGAACAGGCUGAAGAGGAUGAAAGCAACACCAAAUCUGGAGAAGAGAGAGAAACUCGUAGGAGAGAAAAUACAUAUGGGGAAAAGGAGAAGACUCCUGUAAACAACAGUAAUAAAUUUGGAUUACCUGACGGGCGGUUUAGCUCCGGAUCUGAUGGUGACCGAGAAGUUGAUGGUAGCCAUGCCUGCCAGCAGGAGCUGAAGAGUCCUCACUGCAAUGAUAAUAACAAAGCAACAGGAAUUGAUACUUCAAGUGAAAAAUCAGGAAAGAGACAGAGACAGGAGGAACAGGCAACUGAUGGCAACAUGUUGGACUUGGAAAGGAACAAUAAGAAGUUUCACAUGGAAACUGGAAGAGAUGCUCAUCAAAGUCCUCAGCGUCUUCAUAAUCACAAAAAAACAGAUGCUCGUCAAAGUUCUGAUUCCUCAUCAAAAAAUCAUCCUCUGGGUAAUGAUGAUCAGAGAUCUUCAAUGACUUCCGAAUACAAAUCCAGAGAGGGAAGAGGAUCAAGUAGAGAAGAGUGGAGAAAUAAUAUGAGAGAAAAUUCUUAUAGGGGAGGGUCACCCUCGAGGAGAAGAAAUUCUCAAAAUAGAUCAAGGAGACAUUCUCCGGAAGGGCGAAGGACGGAGUAUCGUAACAGUCAUCAUAGAAGCAACAACCAACACAGAUAUGAGCAACAUCGACACGAUGAUUAUUUCAAAUGUCGUGAUGAUUAUUCCAAACGCCGUGAUGUUGAUACUGGUGGAAGGAGGUCGAGUCGUCGUGAGGAUCAUUCUAGUGAUGGUGGUAGGAGGAGGUCGAGUCAUCGUGAGGAUCAUUCCAGUAAUGGUGGUAGGAGGAGGUCGAGCCCCAUCGUGAGGAUCAUUCCAGUGAUGGUGGUAGGAGGAGGUCGAGUCAUCGUGAGGAUCAUUCCAGUGAUGGUGGUAGGAGGAGGUCGAGCCAUCGUGAGGAUCAUUCCAGUGAUGGUGGUAGGAGGAGGUCGAGCCAUCGUGAGGAUCAUUCCAGUGAUGGUGAUAGGAGGAGGUCGAGUCAUCGUGAGGAUCAUUCCAGUGAUGGUGAUAUUGGUGGAAGGAGGUUGAGUCCCCAGCAGUCAGCACUUCCUUCUGGUAAUUUUGGUACUGGUCUCAGUCCCCCUUCACAUCCGACCACUGAAUAUGGUGCUAGCAGAAGGCAUGGUUCCCCUCCAUAUCAGAGAUCUAAACAUGCUGCUAGUGGAAGCCGUGGCCCCUAUAUGAACCCACGAGGAUCAGGCCCUGCAGACUACGAAAUGGAAAGGAGAAGUGUUCCCCUUCACCACGAUGUGCCCAAUGUCGAGGAGUACACUGGUCGACCACUGAAUAUGGUGCUAGCAGAAGGCAUUGCUCCCGUUAAUGCGUACUCUCUCCGUGGCCCCUAUAUGAACCCACGAGGAUCAGGCCCUGCAGACUACGAAAUAGAAAGGAGAAGUGUUCCCCUUCACCACGAUGUGCCCAAUGUCGAGGAGUACACCGGUCAACCACUGAAUAUGGUGCUACCAGAAGGCAUUGCUCCUGUUAAUACGUACUCUCUCCGAGGGGAAUCUCCUGGUGCAUAUGGUCCUGGAACAGAUGCCGGCAUGUGCGAAGAAACCACAUUCCGUGGUGGGCGUUUCGCUGAUCAUGGAGUGAGGUCAGAUUAUCCACGAAGCAGCAGCAUGAAUGCAGAGGAUAGGGCUUUUGCUGCAGGGUCCGUUACGGAUAGGUAUGUCCCGCGCCUCGACCGAACGAACCACCCAGUUAGGGUUGAUGGUUAUCUGCCGGAUUAUCCCGUAUGGUAGGUUGCUGCUGUUGUGAUACUCGUGUUGCCAAUCCCAGUCAGCCUAUGAAAAACCCUGCAGGAAACCAACAGUUAAACCUCAAUUAGCCGCGAAGCGAAUCGGAUAUGUCAAACCUUAGUUUGUCAGAGUGGUUGGACGGUAACCUUCAACCCAAGGUGGUGCCAGCGUACCUUAACGAGUGUGUUUGAUGUUGGCCUCGGAUCUUGCUACUUGUCGAUUAACAGAAAUGAUCUGCUUAGUUUGCGGUUCUUUUGCUGGAGUGUGCUUGUUUUAUAAUCUGGUGUGGAAACUUGCCUAUAAUCUGGUGUGGAAACUUACCCACAGAAGUAAGCAGAAGUGGUUCAGACAGAAGCGGGCCGAGCAAAUGGAAGUGCUGUGUAAUCCAGUGAAUGCCAGUCUUUGGUGUCUUUUUCUAUGGCUCCAAAUUUGUAUGUGGUAAUCUGCAGUUGUUCCAAAUUUGUUGUACUCCAGACUCGAAGGUUUCUUCAUUUAUGCUAGACUUGUAGUGACCCUCACUGAGGGCCAUGUGUUGAUGUUUGUAAAAAAGAUGUGAAUGGUCGAAUCGUUGGUACCUCUUUUAUCAGGAUGCUAACUCAAAAUUUGAUGCGAUGAAGAACAAGUUUUGUCGAUCA